RNAcentral lists this ribosomal RNA (254 nucleotides) under uncultured bacterium. RNAcentral's name for it is "partial 16S ribosomal RNA". It matches the Rfam family "Bacterial small subunit ribosomal RNA", at positions 524 to 777 of the family's 1533-position model. The record is from RNAcentral.
UACGUAGGGGGCGAGCGUUGUCCGGAAUGACUGGGCGUAAAGGGCGCGUAGACGGUUUUUUAAGUCUGGAGUGAAAGUCCUGCUUUCAAGGUGGGAAUUGCUUUGGAGACUGGGGGACUUGAGUGCGGAAGAGGUAAGUGGAAUUCCCAGUGUAGCGGUGAAAUGCGUAGAGAUUGGGAAGAACACCAGUGGCGAAGGCGACUUACUGGGCCGUAACUGACGUUGAUGCGCGAAAGCGUGGGGAGCGAACAGGG